Molecule: ribosomal RNA, 437 nt
Filed under: uncultured bacterium
Lineage: Bacteria
Description: bacterial SSU rRNA
Rfam family: Bacterial small subunit ribosomal RNA
Source: RNAcentral
ACGGGAGGCAGCAGUGGGGAAUAUUGCACAAUGGGGGAAACCCUGAUGCAGCAACGCCGCGUGAAGGAUGACGGUUUUCGGAUUGUAAACUUCUGUUCUCGUUGACGAAGACAGUGACGGUAAACGAGGAGCAAGCCACGGCUAACUACGUGCCAGCAGCCGCGGUGAUACGUAGGUGGCAAGCGUUGUCCGGAAUUACUGGGUGUAAAGGGAGCGCAGGCGGGAGAGCAAGUCAGCUGUGAAAACCACGGGCUUAACCUGUGGACUGCAGUUGAAACUGUUCUUCUUGAGUGAAGUAGAGGUAAGCGGAAUUCCGAGUGUAGCGGUGAAAUGCGUAGAGAUUCGGAGGAACACCAGUGGCGAAGGCGGCUUACUGGGCUUUAACUGACGCUGAGGCUCGAAAGUGUGGGGAGCAAACAGGAUUAGAUACCCUGGUA